AUAAGCGCUCGCAGAUUCUUGGUCCCUUACCUUAGAUCCUGUACAGGCAGCGUUUGGACCGGAAGACAAGGGCCCGUUAUUUGAGUCUUGACAACUCGCGUGACAGGCAGGAGGGUGUAUAUUCCCCGUCAACAUGAAGGUCGCGCUGUUGUGCAUUGCAGCCGCUCUGGCCGUGGCAUUUGCCAUUCCCCCGCCAGAAUCCGGGGAAGCUUUUGCGUUUGACAAAGCCUCAGCUGCAUCUGCUACGUCCAAGCCCUCAGUGUUACCGAGGAUGACCAAGAUGCAACGGGUUGCGCCUGCAUUAUUCUCACCAGUACUGAUACCUUCAUAAGAAAUCCAAGGAUGACCCGGCCUAACGACUAGUGUCAACAAACCUUCUUUUUUUUAUCUUGUAAAUCAUACACACAUGUAGUCCUACCUAAAAAGCGGGGUAGGCCUAGUAAGAAUGGUUGGUGGCUCCCUAUGUAUUUUAUUUGAUGUUGGCAAAUCUAAAAUAUAUACAAAAACAUGUUUAUCUUUAUAGUAUAUUCCUGAUACAUCGUUAAGGAGAGGAUCUUUUUAGUGGAUAGAACGACCAUAUGUAAGUUCAUCUAUUUCUACAAAAUAAAUUAGAAUCUGUGACAACAGGAUAAGAUUCUCCGAUGCACCAGUAAAAAAAAAAAUGUUU
Molecule: long non-coding RNA, 667 nt
Organism: Penaeus monodon (black tiger shrimp)
Lineage: Eukaryota; Metazoa; Arthropoda; Malacostraca; Decapoda; Penaeidae
Exons: 5
Source: RefSeq, a predicted model, not a curated record